AAGAACACCUGCACUUGGCUGACUUUCUCUUUUCCUAAAGAUACAGGAUCAGUCUCAGGGAUUGAACCUGGCAGCCCUAAUAGGUUGUCAUGCCCACAGCUAAAAGUCUGGAAGGUUUGAAGACAAUUGCGGUGACCACUGAGCUUUCUCAAACUGCUUCAGACUUCUCUACUGAAGAUUGUGGGUAGAGGUACAGCUGAGAAUGCAAGAUAGUGGCUUGUCCCAGAAGGCUCCUGUCUCUUGGUCUACGCUCCUGUUGGUGAUUGUGCACCCUACUUUACAGAAGAUACUCCUUGCUUUGCAGAAGUUCUCUGUUUGAAGGGCUGCUGGGUCCAAGUCCAAUUUAAAGGUGAAGAACUCCGAGAAGACAAGGAGCUGGAAGUUGCUUGUUAACUAGUUAGCUCCUGGACAGCAGCCCCAGCAGGCACACAGCCAUCUGCUUAGUCUUUCUCCAGUAGAAUGAAGCCAGCACAAGGGAUUCUUGCUACUGCAGUGGAACCCCACCACCACCCAAACAUCUGCUGCAGAGAAGCCCCAGAACGGCAUGCAGCUAGAAAAGAGGGAAUACACCACCAGGCAAGCAGAAAUGCUUGUGCUGACAGAACUAUCUCCUUAGAGCUACACUGAAUACAACCCAUCAUUUGUAAUGUUUGCAUCUACACAAAUAAACAUAAGCACAUUUUGUGUAAAUCAUGCAUCACCAAAAGAAGAUACAAAGUAGCCAUUCUACCAAUCACAUGCCUUUCCGCAGAG
Long non-coding RNA from Rhineura floridana, 753 nucleotides. RefSeq lists it as uncharacterized. The record is from RefSeq and is a predicted model, not a curated record. Lineage: Eukaryota; Metazoa; Chordata; Lepidosauria; Squamata; Rhineuridae. The transcript has 3 exons.